AUACGUAGGUGACAAGCGUUAUCCGGAUUUACUGGGCGUAAAGGGCGUGUAGGCGGUCUUGCAAGUCAGAAGUGAAAUUCCUGAGCUCGACUCGGGCGCUGCUUCUGAAACUGCAGGACUUGAGUGCUGGAGGGGAUAGCGGAAUUCCUAGUGGAGCGGUAAAAUGCGUAGAUAUUAGGAGGAACACCAGUGGCGAAGGCGGAUUGCUGGACAGCAACUGACGGUGAAGCGCGAAAGUGUGGGGAGCAAACAGGAUUAGAUACCCUGGUAGUCCACACUGUAAACGAUGAAUACUAGGUGUGCGGGGACUGACCCCCUGCGUGCCAGCGUUAACACAAUAAGUAUUCCACCUGGGGAGUACGAUCGCAAGGUUGAAACUCAAAUGAAUUGACGGGG
Molecule: ribosomal RNA, 396 nt
Filed under: uncultured bacterium
Lineage: Bacteria
Description: partial 16S ribosomal RNA
Rfam family: Bacterial small subunit ribosomal RNA
Source: RNAcentral